Molecule: ribosomal RNA, 460 nt
Filed under: uncultured bacterium
Lineage: Bacteria
Description: SSU rRNA
Rfam family: Bacterial small subunit ribosomal RNA
Source: RNAcentral
AGAAUCAACGCUGGCGGCGUGCCUAACACAUGCAAGUCGCACGAGAAAGGGGAGCAAUCCCUGAGUACAGUGGCGCACGGGUGAGUAACACGUGAAUGAUCUACCUCCGAGUGGGGAAUAACUGAGAGAAAUCUUGGCUAAUACCGCAUAAUACCCACGGGUCAAAGCAGCAAUGCGCUUGGAGAGGAGUUCGCGGCCGAUUAGCUAGUUGGCGGGGUAAUGGCCCACCAAGGCGAUGAUCGGUAUCCGGCCUGAGAGGGCGCACGGACACACUGGAACUGAAACACGGUCCAGACUCCUACGGGAGGCAGCAGUGGGGAAUUUUGCGCAAUGGGGGAAACCCUGACGCAGCAACGCCGCGUGGAGGAUGAAGCCCCUUGGGGUGUAAACUCCUUUCGAUCGGGAAGAUAAUGACGGUACCGAUAUAAGAAGCCCCGGCUAACUUCGCGCCAGCAGCCGC